Molecule: ribosomal RNA, 274 nt
Filed under: uncultured bacterium
Lineage: Bacteria
Description: partial 16S ribosomal RNA
Rfam family: Bacterial small subunit ribosomal RNA
Source: RNAcentral
AUACGGAGGGUGCAAGCGUUAAUCGGAAUUACUGGGCGUAAAGCGUACGUAGGCGGUUUAUUAAGUCAGAUGUGAAAGCCCCGGGCUUAACCUGGGAACUGCAUUUGAAACUAGUAGACUAGAGUAUGGUAGAGGGGGGUAGAAUUCCUAGUGUAGCGGUGGAAUGCGUAGAUAUUAGGAGGAAUACCAGUGGCGAAGGCGGCCCCCUGGACCAAUACUGACGCUGAGGUACGAAAGCGUGGGGAGCGAACAGGAUUAGAAACCCCAGUAGUCC